GCGCCAGCAAAAUCUGGUGUCAGGAUUGAGACCCUGAAUAAGAACUACACGGCGACACAUGACGCGCCAAGCGUCUUUUUU
RNAcentral lists this small RNA (81 nucleotides) under Xenorhabdus beddingii. RNAcentral's name for it is "isrK". It matches the Rfam family "isrK Hfq binding RNA". Lineage: Bacteria; Pseudomonadati; Pseudomonadota; Gammaproteobacteria; Enterobacterales; Morganellaceae. The record is from RNAcentral.